GCACAAGCGGUGGAUGAUGUGGAUUAAUUCGAUGCAACGCGAAGAACCUUACCUACCCUUGACAUGUCCGGAACUUGCCAGAGAUGGCUUGGUGCCCGAAAGGGAAUCGGAACACAGGUGCUGCAUGGCUGUCGUCAGCUCGUGUCGUGAGAUGUUGGGUUAAGUCCCGCAACGAGCGCAACCCUUAUCAUUAGUUGCUACGCAAGGGCACUCUAAUGAGACUGCCGGUGACAAACCGGAGGAAGGUGGGGAUGACGUCAAGUCCUCAUGGCCCUUAUGGGUAGGGCUUCACACGUCAUACAAUGGUCGGUACAGAGGGUUGCCAACCCGCGAGGGGGAGCUAAUCCCACAAAGCCGAUCGUAGUCCGGAUCGCAGUCUGCAACUCGACUGCGUGAAGUCGGAAUCGCUAGUAAUCGUGGAUCAGCAUGUCACGGUGAAUACGUUCCCGGGUCUU
This 455-nucleotide ribosomal RNA is filed under the name uncultured Tepidiphilus sp. RNAcentral's name for it is "bacterial SSU rRNA". It matches the Rfam family "Bacterial small subunit ribosomal RNA", at positions 923 to 1382 of the family's 1533-position model. Lineage: Bacteria; Pseudomonadati; Pseudomonadota; Hydrogenophilia; Hydrogenophilales; Hydrogenophilaceae. The record is from RNAcentral.